Molecule: long non-coding RNA, 482 nt
Organism: Osmia bicornis bicornis
Lineage: Eukaryota; Metazoa; Arthropoda; Insecta; Hymenoptera; Megachilidae
Exons: 2
Source: RefSeq, a predicted model, not a curated record
UAUCAGAGACAAGCAGGAAGAAUUUCAUCGAGUUCCAUUUCAGCUAAACGUUUCCGUAUUCGCGGAAAGCGUAUCGACAAGCGGUGAGAGUGAAACGUACGCGAUAAAGAAAAUGUCGAAAAAACAAACACACGCUCGGGUGCUUGCCAGAGGAGACAGGUUAAAUCGGUAAGAAAAACUUAACGAACGGCGUUAACGAUGAAAAACUCGAGCAACCGGAAGAGGAAAACAACGCGAGGACAAGCCGAGUUUCGUUUCAUUGAAGAGUCUCUUGGUGGUUGUUGCACUUUCUUGUCGGCUAAUGAGUCAGUAUUUAUUGCCUGACCUUUGACGGUUCAGGCACCCUGUCUUUUCUUCGGUUUCUUUCACUACUUUGGAUACCAUUCAAAUUAACCCUUUAACGACGAAAUGCCAUCGAUUGAAAAUGUUAAGUAAGACAUGCGCAAAACUGAAAUACACGAACGUUAUCGAUAGAAGGUUAA